RNAcentral lists this ribosomal RNA (748 nucleotides) under Pseudopyricularia higginsii. RNAcentral's name for it is "eukaryotic LSU rRNA". It matches the Rfam family "Eukaryotic large subunit ribosomal RNA", at positions 76 to 854 of the family's 3401-position model. The record is from RNAcentral. Lineage: Eukaryota; Fungi; Ascomycota; Sordariomycetes; Magnaporthales; Pyriculariaceae.
UGCCCCAGUAACGGCGAGUGAAGCGGCAACAGCUCAAAUUUGAAAUCUGGCCCCAGGCCCGAGUUGUAAUUUGCAGAGGAUGCUUCCGGCGAGGCACCUACCGAGUCCCCUGGAAUGGGGCGCCACAGAGGGUGAGAGCCCCGUAUGGUAGGACGCCGAGCCGAUGUGAAGCUCCUUCGACGAGUCGAGUAGUUUGGGAAUGCUGCUCUAAAUGGGAGGUAAAUUUCUUCUAAAGCUAAAUACCGGCCAGAGACCGAUAGCGCACAAGUAGAGUGAUCGAAAGAUGAAAAGCACUUUGAAAAGAGGGUUAAAAAGUACGUGAAAUUGUUGAAAGGGAAGCGCUUGUGACCAGACUCGCGCCGGUCGGAUCAUCCAGGGCUCGCCCUGGUGCACUCCGGCCGGAUCGGGCCAGCAUCGGUUUCCGCCGGGGGACAAAGGCUUCGGGAACGUGGCUCGCUUCGGCGAGUGUUAUAGCCCGCUGCGUAAUACCCCGGGGGGGACCGACGACCGCGCUUCGGCAAGGAUGCUGGCGUAAUGGUCAUCAGCGACCCGUCUUGAAACACGGACCGAGGAGUCAAGCAUUAGUGCGAGUGUUUGGGUGUAAAACCCGCACGCGUAAUGAAAGUGAACGUAGGUGAGAGCUUCGGCGCAUCAUCGACCGAUCCUGAAGUCUUCUGAUGGAUUUGAGUAGGAGCAUUAACGCUUGGACCCGAAAGAUGGUGAACUAUACUUGAAUAGGGUGAAGCCA